Molecule: ribosomal RNA, 506 nt
Filed under: uncultured bacterium
Lineage: Bacteria
Description: partial 16S ribosomal RNA
Rfam family: Bacterial small subunit ribosomal RNA
Source: RNAcentral
GAUGAACGCUAGCUACAGGCUUAACACAUGCAAGUCGAGGGGUAACGAGAGGAAAGCUUGCUUUCCUUGUCGACGACCGGCGCACGGGUGAGUAACGCGUAUCCAACCUGCCCCCAACUAGGGAAUAACCUUGCGAAAGUAAGACUAAUACCCUAUAAUUUCCUCAGAUGUCAUCUGACGAGGAAUAAAGAUUUAUCGGUUGUGGAUGGGGAUGCGUCUGAUUAGCUUGUUGGCGGGGUAACGGCCCACCAAGGCAACGAUCAGUAGGGGUUCGGAGAGGAAGGUCCCCCACAUUGGAACUGAGACACGGUCCAAACUCCUACGGGAGGCAGCAGUGAGGAAUAUUGGUCAAUGGGCGUAAGCCUGAACCAGCCAAGUAGCGUGCAGGAUGACGGCCCUAUGGGUUGUAAACUGCUUUUAUACAGGAAUAAAGUUAGCCACGUGUGGUUAUUUGUAGGUACUGUAUGAAUAAGGACCGGCUAAUUCCGUGCCAGCAGCCGCGGUAA